This 397-nucleotide ribosomal RNA is filed under the name uncultured bacterium. RNAcentral describes it as "partial 16S ribosomal RNA". It matches the Rfam family "Bacterial small subunit ribosomal RNA", at positions 523 to 918 of the family's 1533-position model. The record is from RNAcentral.
AUACGUAGGUGACAAGCGUUAUCCGGAUUUACUGGGCGUAAAGGGCGUGUAGGCGGUCUUGCAAGUCAGAAGUGAAAUUCCUGAGCUCAACUCGGGCGCUGCUUCUGAAACUGCAGGACUUGAGUGCUGGAGGGGAUAGCGGAAUUCCUAGUGGAGCGGUAAAAUGCGCCGAUAAUAGGAAGAACACCGGUGGCGAAGGCGGCUAUCUGGACAAGAACGAAGGCUGCGGCGCGAAAGCGUGGAGAGCAAACUGGCUUAGAUACCCGCGUGGUCGACGAUGUAAACGAUGAUGACAAGGUGUACUGGGUAUCGCAUCUCUCGGUGCCGUAGUCAACACAAUAAGUAUUCAGCCUGGGGAGUACGGCCGCAAGGUUGAAACUCAAAGGAAUUGACGGGG